AUUUUAGGCCAGUUUGGGUGAUUUUAGGCCAGACUGGGCAGAAUUAGGAUGGAUUUUAGACUCCUUUGGAUCAUUAUAGACCAAUUUGGCUGAUUUUAGUCCAAACUGGGCAGGUUUAGGCUGGGUUUUCGAGCCUUUUAGUGUGGAUUUUAGGCCCCUUUGGCUGAUUUUAGGGCAAAUCUGGUAAAGUUUAGUCACAUUUGGGUGAUUUUAGGAUAAGCUGGGCAGUGUUAGGGUGGAUUUUAGAUCCCUCUGGAGGAUUUUAGGUUUAUAUGGGUGGGAUUUCAACAUGUUUGUGAAUUUAGGGCAAAUCUGGGUGUUAAGGUGGACUUUGGAUCCCUUUGGGUGAUUUUAGGUAAACCUAGGUACUUUCAUGGUGGAUUUUAUGCCCAUUUGGGAGAUUUAAGUGUGCUUUGAAGCAAUUUUCUCAGGAUUUUAAACCACAUUGUGCAGUUUUAGAGCCCUUUGGUUGGAUUUUAUAACCCUUUGGAUGAUCUUAACAGCAUUUGGCUGACCUUAGGCCAAAUUUGUGGAUUUAGGGUGGAUUUUAGGGCCCUUUGUGUGAUUUUAAGCCACUUUGUGGGGAUUCAAGUCUCCUUUGGGUAAAUUGAGGCCAAACCUGAUUAGGUUUAGGGUGGAUUUUAGACCCCUUUAGAGAAUUUUAUUCCCAUUUGGGUGAUUUUAGACAAAACCUGGCCCUUAUAGGACUGUGUGUCCCCUUGGCCACGCCCAUUCUCCCUCAUGAUUCCCGGCCUUUCCUUGACCCCGCCCCUUUCCCCUCACAGUUCCCGCCCUUUCCCUGACCCCGCCCCCACAGUUCGGGGCUGGGAACGGGGGAGGAGGAGGAGGGAGGGAGGAAGAGGCAGAGCGGCAGCAGGGAGCAGGAGGAGAAGGGCAGAGGAGGCAGAGGCGGCUCCAGCGCUCCCUGAACUCGCAGCCCCCCGGACCGCCCCCAUCCCGCAGGUGCCCCGUUGGAGGGCAAGGACAGCGGGUUUGGGGAGCCCCGGGAGAGCUGCGGCUUCCCUGAGCGGGACCCCAGAGAGAGGAGAGCCCCAGAAUUGCAAAGCGGGGACCCCAAGAGGGGGCACCCCUGGGAUUGCCGGGACCCCAGCGGGGGGUGCUGGGGCUGGAUGGGCGGGAUGAGUGGGAAAGGGGUUCGGGGGUGCCAGUGCUGGAAGUGGCUGCUCCCAGUAUGAGCCCAGUAACUCCCUCCAUGUGGUCCCAUUUUUCUUGGCACUCCCAGUAUGUGGCCAGUUACUGCCAGCAUUCCCAAAUGGGGAGACAGAAGAGGGGCGAGCUUUUCCGGUUCCUGGGACUCCCAGCAGCCUGAGGAUGGUGGGGACCCCCAAUAGAAGCAUGACCCCCCGCAGCUGUGACUGGGGGAAACCCCAAAGUCUCCCUAAUGGGAGAGACCAGAGAAUGGGAACUCCUGGGAGGCUUUUUCGGUGCCAAAUCUUGGUGUUUGGGAGCUUUUUAUGGACCCCAGAUGCCUGGUGACUUCUAGAGAUGGACUUGGGCAGAGGGAAUUUCAAAUUCAAUCUGCUCAUCCCUUGUUUUACUACAAACUAGAAUUUUCCAUUCCCAGCCUUGGCUGGAUGGAGGAGGAGGCUGGGAGGAAGAUGACCCAGGGCACUCGAGGCAGCCAUGACCCCCUCGCAUUGCAUGUGGUGCUUCUGUGUGAAGACGACAGCCAUUCCGCCAGAGAGUGAAGGGAGACAGAACAGCCCAUCAGGGUGUAUAAAAAUACAUGCAGUGUGAGAGGCGGAGAAGCUGGAAAAGCUGAAAAACGAGAAGCUGGAAAAAUCUGUAAAACAAGUCAGCGUGAGAGCUGGAAGAACAAAAGCAAAAAGCUGAAAAAAUAGAAAAAAAACCAUCGGAAACAUGGCAAGAUGGAUAUCACUGGAAGACAACCUCCUUGUCCAGGUAUUGAUUCUCCUGUCACCUAAAUGGGGAGUACAGUACAUGCAGCCGGUGUUGCUAACGCUGCUAGCGUGGUCUGGUAACCAUGGAGUAAACCUUAUAAAGCCCUGGAAAAUUGUUUUGGACUUGCUGAGGUGGUUGGAAGCCAAGCAGGACGCAGAGAUGGCAGCAAAAAUGCCACAGACAUCGCCCACUUUUUUGGCCUGCCAAGGACGCUGAGCGGGGCAGAGCAGCAGGUGAAAAACCGAGGGGAAAGCAGCCAUUAUUUACUAGAGUUCCCCCGCUGCCGCCCGCACUGAGUCCAUCCUCAGCAUGGUCGGGUCCGCCCACACCCCCGCUACAGAAACCAUCUUUAGGCUCUGCACCCUGUAAAGCGGCACGGAGAGAGCCCGCCGAAAACCCCCAAGGUGGCGGAGAGCACGCGGAACGAGGGGCACUCACCCAAGAUGGUGCUGGCCACAGGGCGCGGGAUGUUCCUGCUCGAGAUGGCGGAACGCGCGCUCCACAGGCCGGAGGAGAAGCGGCUGCCCCGCCGCCGGAGCUGACCCAGCGCUGCCCGAGCCGUGCAUAGAGCUGCCAGCGCUGCCCGAGCCGUGCGUAGAGCUGCCAGCACCGGGGACACGAGCUACCAUGUACCGCCGCAUCCUCAGUCAGCACUCGAGAAACCUGAGAAACACCGAGGCAGCCGGCGCAGCAGUCGGCACCCAGAGAAUGGGAGACCCGGCUGGCGCCCGGGGCCGCGGGACAUCACAGCUGUGAGCAGCCCCAGACGUCAACAGAACGGAGCGGAGCCGCCCGCCACCGCCGACAAACCGCACUGCCUGGUAACCACAGCAGCAACGGUAUCGACCCCUUUGUGCAGCCAGAGAGAGCCUGUAAGUCUGCCUGGGCUGGGCAGGGAGAACCAAAGGACAGCCCUUGGUCCCCCGAUCCGUAUAACCCUGGAGGGGACCCUGACAAUAUCCCAAAAAAGCUGUUGCUGCCCCGCACCCUGUGGCCUCAGUCAGAGCCGAGUGGCGGCGGGUGGCUGGGGACAGGGAGACCCUUCCUAGCAGCAUGGCCCCUCUCAGCCCGCCCUCUGCGAAAGCGGACCAGCAGCGACAGAGACUGCAAGAGAGGGGAGUGUGUGAAGCCUCAGGCAACCACAAAGCAAAACAGAAGCGGCACCGCAUUCCCUGCCUCCCCCUCAGCAAAAUCACCCAGUAAAGCGUGGCCAACUCUUGUAAGCUGAGAAAGCCCUACAAGUCACUCCACUGCUCCUACAACAGCCCAACCUGCCGUCUGCUGCGGGCCCUCUUAAGCUGAUACUGUACUAGAAAAAAAAAAACCUACAUGUGAUAUGGAGGAUGUUUAUGAAUAUACAAAUACAAGAUUUUAGAAGCAGCUUUUGGUGAUUUUGUAGUAGAGAAACAGCUUGUACUGAGAACACAUAGAAGAUUAGCCAUUAAGCUUGGUUGUUAGGUAGUUACUAAGUAGAAGUCAUACAGGUAAGAUGUAUGUUGAAACUCAGCAAAGCAGGACCUAGGUAUUUGUCAAAAAUCGAUAAAGCACAACUUUGUGGCUUGAACCCAGCAAAAUCAAGCUCUUAAUCUUUGGCAAGAGCAAAGUGACCUGAAAAAUACCCAAACCUCCACUGUGCCUGCCCAGAAGCGAAGAUCAGCCUGAGGAAGAUGAUGGCCUUCCUCCCAAGACCCCAACUCACACUGCCAGGAGGUGUGACAGCUAAUUAGAACACGAAGCGAGAGAAGGCGGGGAAUGGGCGGGUGGGGAGGUGUGGGUUUGUGGGAUCCAUGUGCAUUUAAACCUGGACCUUGUUCUGACCAGGUACGCACGGUUUGGAGGAGAUAUCCCCCUGUGUGUCCCAGCUGGAAAUAAAACAUACUGCUUUACAAUUUCUACCUGUAAAGUCCUUAUUCUGCGCUUCACACGGUAAUCCCCAUCUUGAGGGCCCCGAGCAGCGCCGCCCCCACAGCGGGAGCGGAGAGCAGAGCACGGGCAGGCGGCCGCGGGGAGCGGCGGGCGCCCCUCCCAGCCCCGCCGGCCACAGCCACUGCCCGCGGCAGUGCGGAUGAUCAACACACAGAAAAACCCAGAGAGGACUAACCACAGAAUUGUGUUUUCAAUCAUCGGACACAACAAAUAGCUACCAUUAAAACAAGUAUCCAUUCUAAUACUGUUUUUAAAUACUCCCGACAGUUUAAUCCUAACAAUAGUAAACUCUUUUCUUUCCAGGGGCAUAUUGAAGUUACAAUAAAAUGCUAUGUGAUAUUUAAAA
Molecule: long non-coding RNA, 4195 nt
Organism: Prinia subflava (tawny-flanked prinia)
Lineage: Eukaryota; Metazoa; Chordata; Aves; Passeriformes; Cisticolidae
Exons: 2
Source: RefSeq, a predicted model, not a curated record